Molecule: ribosomal RNA, 449 nt
Filed under: uncultured bacterium
Lineage: Bacteria
Description: bacterial SSU rRNA
Rfam family: Bacterial small subunit ribosomal RNA
Source: RNAcentral
GAUGAACGCUGGCGGCGUGCUUAACACAUGCAAGUCGAACGAAGCACUUUAUUUGAUUUCCUUCGGGACUGAUUAUUUCGUGACUGAGUGGCGGACGGGUGAGUAACGCGUGGGUAACCUGCCUUGUACAGGGGGAUAACAGUUGGAAACGGCUGCUAAUACCGCAUAAGCGCACAGCAUCGCAUGAUGCAGUGUGAAAAACUCCGGUGGUAUAAGAUGGACCCGCGUUGGAUUAGCUAGUUGGUGAGGUAACGGCCCACCAAGGCGACGAUCCAUAGCCGACCUGAGAGGGUGACCGGCCACAUUGGGACUGAGACACGGCCCAAACUCCUACGGGAGGCAGCAGUGGGGAAUAUUGCACAAUGGGCGAAAGCCUGAUGCAGCGACGCCGCGUGAGCGAAGAAGUAUUUCGGUAUGUAAAGCUCUAUCAGCAGGGAAGAUAAUGACGG